AUAUAUAUAUAUAUAAUAUAUAAUAUCAGUAACAUUUUCAUUUUUAUUUGUUUCAAAUUUGUAAUGAUAAAAGUGGAAGCAUCUAUUUGUUUAGCUGCUUUUCGAGAGCAUUUAGAAUUCUUUAGGCCGUGUAUGCAAAGAUUCAGGCAGCAGGGCGCGGCUGCGAUAACCGGGCGGUCAGUCGCAAAGGAGCGAGAGAUGCCUGGGACGGAGACGGAGACGAUGAUGAUGGCGCCAAGAAAUUAACGAAACGCGCCAUAAUAAACACAAAACGAGGAA
This is a long non-coding RNA of Drosophila montana, 279 nucleotides long. RefSeq lists it as uncharacterized. Lineage: Eukaryota; Metazoa; Arthropoda; Insecta; Diptera; Drosophilidae. The record is from RefSeq and is a predicted model, not a curated record. The transcript is spliced from 2 exons.